RNAcentral lists this ribosomal RNA (447 nucleotides) under uncultured bacterium. Its description in RNAcentral is "bacterial SSU rRNA". It matches the Rfam family "Bacterial small subunit ribosomal RNA", at positions 355 to 825 of the family's 1533-position model. The record is from RNAcentral.
UGGGGAAUCUUGGACAAUGGGCGCAAGCCUGAUCCAGCCAUGCCGCGUGGAUGAUGAAGGCCUUAGGGUUGUAAAAUCCUUUCGUGGGGGACGAUAAUGACGGUACCCCAAGAAGAAGCUCCGGCUAACUUCGUGCCAGCAGCCGCGGUAAUACGAAGGGGGCUAGCGUUGUUCGGAUUUACUGGGCGUAAAGCGCGUGUAGGCGGGUCGUUAAGUUGGGGGUGAAAUCCCGAGGCUCAACCUCGGAACUGCCUUCAAAACUGGCGACCUGGACCUAAGUGGAGGCAAGUGGAAUUGCGAGUGUAGAGGUGAAAUUCGUAGAUAUUCGCAGGAACACCAGUGGCGAAGGCGACUUGCUGGACUUAUGGUGACGCUGAGACGCGAAAGCGUGGGGAGCAAACAGGAUUAGAUACCCCUGUAGUCCCUGAGCGGGCUGGCAAGGCGCAU